This 349-nucleotide unclassified non-coding RNA is filed under the name plant metagenome. RNAcentral describes it as "partial contains 5.8S ribosomal RNA, internal transcribed spacer 2, and large subunit ribosomal RNA". The stretch from base 1 to 104 matches the Rfam family "5.8S ribosomal RNA", at positions 51 to 154 of the family's 154-position model. The record is from RNAcentral.
GAAUGCGAUAAGUAAUGUGAAUUGCAGAAUUCAGUUAAUCAUCGAAUCUUUGAACGCACCUUGCGCUCCUUGGUAUUCCGAGGAGCAUGCCUGUUUGAGUGUCAUGGAAUUCUCAACUCUAUUUGCUUUUGUGAAUAGAGCUUGGAUUUGGAGGUUUAUUGCUGGUACUUGUGAUCGGCUCCUCUUGAAUGCAUUAGCUCGAACCUUUGCGGAUCAGCUAUCGGUGUGAUAAUUGUCUACGCCGUUGCAGUGAAGCAUAUCAAUGGGCUCGGCUUCCAAUCGUCCUUUACUGGACAAUGACUUUGACCUUUGACCUCAAAUCAGGUAGGAUUACCCGCUGAACUUAAGC